UACGGAGGGUGCGAGCGUUGUCCGGAAUCACUGGGCGUAAAGGGCGCGUAGGUGGCUUCUCAAGCGCGCGGUGAAAGCCCGGGGCUCAACCCCGGGUCGGCCGUGCGGACUGGGAGGCUCGAGCACUGUAGGGGCGGGUGGAAUUCCGGGUGUAGCGGUGGAAUGCGCAGAUAUCAGGAGGAACACCAAUAGCGAAGGCAGCUCGCUGGGACGGUACUGACACUAAGGCGCGAAAGCGUGGGGAGCGAACAGG
RNAcentral lists this ribosomal RNA (253 nucleotides) under uncultured bacterium. Its description in RNAcentral is "partial 16S ribosomal RNA". It matches the Rfam family "Bacterial small subunit ribosomal RNA", at positions 524 to 776 of the family's 1533-position model. The record is from RNAcentral.